AACGAACGCUGGCGGCAUGCCUAACACAUGCCAGUCGAACGAAGGCUUCGGCCUUAGUGGCGCACGGGUGCGUAACGCGUGGGAAUCUGCCCUUUGGUUCGGAAUAACAGCUGGAAACGGCUGCUAAUACCGGAUGAUGACGAAAGUCCAAAGAUUUAUCGCCAGAGGAUGAGCCCGCGUUGGAUUAGGUAGUUGGUGGGGUAAAGGCCUACCAAGCCGACGAUCCAUAGCUGGUCUGAGAGGAUGAUCAGCCACACUGGGACUGAGACACGGCCCAGACUCCUACGGGAGGCAGCAGUGGGGAAUAUUGGACAAUGGGCGCAAGCCUGAUCCAGCAAUGCCGCGUGAGUGAUGAAGGCCCUAGGGUUGUAAAGCUCUUUUGCCCGGGAAGAUAAUGACUGUACCGGGAGAAUAAGCCCCGGCUAACUCCGUG
Molecule: ribosomal RNA, 433 nt
Filed under: uncultured bacterium
Lineage: Bacteria
Description: partial 16S ribosomal RNA
Rfam family: Bacterial small subunit ribosomal RNA
Source: RNAcentral